GCGGCCGUGACCCUGCUGGAGUGUGGGGGGGACCUCCAGCCCCCCGGGGGAUCCCUGCGCCUCCUCUGCCGAGCACCCGGGAUCGAUUUUGGGAUUAUUGUGAUGGCCUGGAUCCGCCAGAGACCCGGGCAGGCGCUGGAGUUCAUUGCAGAUAUCAGCACCACUGGCAGCACAAGCUACGCGGAUUCGGUCAAGGGCCGGUUCACGAUCUCUAAGGACAACGGGCAGAGUUUGAUGACACUGACCAUGAACAACCUCAAGGACGAGGAUUCCGGAUACUAUUUCUGUGCCAAAUAUGCUUAUACUCCUGAUGGUACUUAUGGUGUUGCUUCUGUUGACGUGCCGGGCUUGGCCCCAUUCCCCAACCAGCACUGCAGGAGCAUCCGGGAGCAGGACGAAUAUUCUCAUUCUCACUAA
Non-coding RNA from Melozone crissalis (California towhee), 417 nucleotides. The record is from the annotation of a RefSeq genome assembly. Lineage: Eukaryota; Metazoa; Chordata; Aves; Passeriformes; Passerellidae.